UCUCUCUCUGAGUUCACUCUUUCCUUUUACACUGUUCAAUUAGUUGAACUUCACUGCCUAGAAUUUAUCAUGGUAUCAGAGCUUGCUGGAAAUCUCUAUAGCUCGAUUUCUCUCUAUUUUUCAUAAACUGCUUUCAAUGUCUUUGCUUGAUUCAGCUCGAGUUACAUUGUCCUAGAAGUAGUUUUUUCUCUCUGUGAUCUCCACAGAAGUAUUUGUUUCCUUCUCUAUGCAGUACUCUAUUACAUUGCACCUUUGUAUUCCUUUGAAUUAUUAUUUCUCCAUUAAUGGUGACUGGGGAUGGUGUUCACAAAAGUUCAGCUAAUACUUUUGUUGUUACUUCGGCAAAUGUCCAAUUAUUAUCGAUCAUAAUCAUCCACUGUACUUACAGCCCUGCGGCACCCCAGGUAUCAUUCUUAUCUCUAUACAACGUAUUGGAUUCAAAAAUUAUGCAUUGUGAGUUAUUAUAUGAAAAUUGACCUCCUAGGCAAGUGUAAGCUGAGGUUUGUUGAUGGUAGAUGAUCUAAGGAUAGGUUCCCUCCUUCCCUCCAUGAGUUGUGGGGAAGGUGUAAUGCUAUAGUCCUUUCAUAGAUUAUGAACUCUAUGAGCAAAGAACUUUUAAGUGGAUUUAUAUAUACGUGAAGUGCCCAAAAGGUUUAGAAGGAUCUGCAGGAACGCUUUGAUAAAGUAGAUGGAUCUAGAAUUUUUUAUCCCCAUAAGGAGAUUGGUACCUUAGCUCAGGGCACAAUGUCUGUAGCUGUUUAUUUCUCUCGUCUGAAAGAGCCGUGGGAGGAGUUUGAUUCCUUAAUCCCCUUCCCUAGUUGUGAUUGUGCUGAGUCAAAAACUUAUGCAACUCAUUUUGAGUAUCAACACUUGAUGCAAUUUCUCAUGGGUAUCAAUGACUCUUAUAACCAAUGGCGUAGUCAGAUUAUGAUGAUGGAUCCACCAUCUAGUGUGAAUAAGGCCUAUUCUCUUAUUAUUUUUUAGGAAGGUCAAAGAAUUUUAGGGAAGUCUAACUCUGUCGUAGGAGGACAUGGAAAUCUGAGUGAUGAUUUAACUUUAUUGAGCAUCAACAGGAAAGGAAUAUUGGAUAAAAAAAAAGUGCAAUCUCAUCACACUCCAUGCCAAAUGUUGCUCAUGCUCAUGUGUUCUUUAGCAGGAGUGGUGGUCGAGGAAAUGUGGCUAACAAGCAGUUUCAUCCUAAGGAUCUAGAUCUAAAAAGAAUUGGUUCUACCUCUAAUGUGACUACUGUCAUUUCACAGGCCACACCAAAGCAAAUUGCUACAAGCUUCAUGGUUACCCAUUUGAUUUCAAAGGAAAAAAUAGACAUACUUUUGAACCUGCAACUACUGCUAACUAUUCAGGUAGCUACACUAACAACACAGGCUACAUUCCUGGCUAUUUUGUAGGUCAUCAGUCUACUCAGAUAGGACAAAGUAAUGUACUGAUGGGCACUCCCAACAUCAGUGUUGGCUCUAUGGAU
RNAcentral lists this long non-coding RNA (1480 nucleotides) under Capsicum annuum. RNAcentral's name for it is "long non-coding RNA (CANN_LNC005162)". Lineage: Eukaryota; Viridiplantae; Streptophyta; Magnoliopsida; Solanales; Solanaceae. The record is from RNAcentral.